RNAcentral lists this ribosomal RNA (497 nucleotides) under uncultured bacterium. RNAcentral describes it as "partial 16S ribosomal RNA". It matches the Rfam family "Bacterial small subunit ribosomal RNA", at positions 28 to 507 of the family's 1533-position model. The record is from RNAcentral.
GAUGAACGCUGGCGGCGUGCCUAAUACAUGCAAGUCGAGCGAACAGACGAGGAGCUUGCUCCUCUGAUGUUAGCGGCGGACGGGUGAGUAACACGUGGAUAACCUACCUAUAAGACUGGGAUAACUUCGGGAAACCGGAGCUAAUACCGGAUAACAUGUUGAACCGCAUGGUUCAACAGUGAAAGACGGUCUUGCCGUCACUUAUAGAUGGAUCCGCGCCGCAUUAGCUAGUUGGUAAGGUAACGGCUUACCAAGGCAACGAUGCGUAGCCGACCUGAGAGGGUGAUCGGCCACACUGGAACUGAGACACGGUCCAGACUCCUACGGGAGGCAGCAGUAGGGAAUCUUCCGCAAUGGGCGAAAGCCUGACGGAGCAACGCCGCGUGAGUGAAGAAGGUCUUCGGAUCGUAAAACUCUGUUAUUAGGGAAGAACAAAUGUGUAAGUAACUAUGCACGUCUUGACGGUACCUAAUCAGAAAGCCACGGCUAACUACGUG